UACGGAGGAUGCAAGCGUUAUCCGGAAUUAUUGGGCGUAAAGCGUCCGUAGGUGGCCGUUCAAGUCUGCUGUCAAAGGCUGGGGCUUAACUCCAGACAGGCAGUGGAAACUGAAUAGCUAGAGUGUGGUAGGGGUAGAGGGAAUUCCCGGUGUAGCGGUGAAAUGCGUAGAGAUCGGGAAGAACACCAACGGCGAAAGCACUCUGCUGGGCCGACACUGACACUGAGAGACGAAAGCUAGGGGAGCGAAUGGG
Molecule: ribosomal RNA, 253 nt
Filed under: uncultured bacterium
Lineage: Bacteria
Description: partial 16S ribosomal RNA
Rfam family: Bacterial small subunit ribosomal RNA
Source: RNAcentral